CCCGCUUGGCGGACGGAAAAUCCGCGCACCCGGUCAGGGGAGGAAUCCAGCAGCCGGCGCGGCCCAUUCGGGUCGCCAAGCGUUUCC
RNAcentral lists this signal recognition particle RNA (87 nucleotides) under Rickettsiales bacterium. RNAcentral describes it as "signal recognition particle sRNA small type". It matches the Rfam family "Bacterial small signal recognition particle RNA". Rfam says of the family: The signal recognition particle (SRP) is a universally conserved ribonucleoprotein involved in the co-translational targeting of proteins to membranes. Lineage: Bacteria; Pseudomonadati; Pseudomonadota; Alphaproteobacteria; Rickettsiales. The record is from RNAcentral.